GCCGUGAGAUUCCCAGGAGUUUCCACUUGGUGAUCAGCACUGAACACAGACCACCAACCAUGGAGUUUGGGCUUAGCUGGGUUUUCCUUGUUGCUAUUUUAAAAGGUGUCCAAUGUGAGGUGCAGCUGGUGGAGUCUGGGGGAGGCUUGGUACAGCCAGGGCGGUCCCUGAGACUCUCCUGUACAGCUUCUGGAUUCACCUUUGGUGAUUAUGCUAUGAGCUGGAUCCGCCAGGCUCCAGGGAAGGGGCUGGAGUGGGUAGGUUUCAUUAGAAGCAAAGCUUAUGGUGGGACAACAGAAUACGCCGCGUCUGUGAAAGGCAGAUUCACCAUCUCAAGAGAUGAUUCCAAAAGCAUCGCCUAUCUGCAAAUGAACGGCCUGAAAACCGAGGACACAGCCGUGUAUUACUGUACUAGAGACACAGUGAGGGGAGAUCUCACUGGAUCAUCUCGAGGGCCCAUCUUCACCCCUGUCUCCCGAAGACUCCUGGAGAGGCUGCAGGACGGGCAGAAGGAGGCGCCCCGUGUGAGUCCACACGACCUGGAGCCUCCCUCUCCUUGGAUUAGGCCAUCUCCUCGGGAUCACAGGGCUCUUCAUUAUCCUCACCCCGCUGUUGUACCAAACAAGCAACAUCACACUUCAAUUCAUCAGGGUUUGCUUUAAUUUUCUAAAUCAUCGUGAAGGUGAUAAUUUUAACAGUAAUGUAUCACAACCAAAUAGGAUAAGCCCUUUUCCAUGGAACAGGGUUUCUUAUCAGGAUAUACAUGUAUUAUGGAUUCUCAAUUUAUUUGUAGAUGAGAUGCUAAUAUCUCCAUAUUGUAGAUGAUUCUGCUAAGUCAUCUCUUAAAAUUAAUUUUUCCAAAGACUCAAACAAAUAAAUGAUAUAAUUAUAAAUUUCAGGUGUAAUAGCUGAGCCAACAUUGAGACUAUAUUAACGUUUAGAACAUGAACUUGCAAAUAUUGUUAUUUUCCUGUCGGCUGUCCCCAAUUGUGAUUUUAUACAGAAUAUUAGAAAUGUAUCCUGAUAAAUCAGGUUAAAAUAUUAUAUCAUUAGUUUAUUAACUUUUAUAACUAAUAAGAUAAAAUGUUCCACAUAUUUUUUAGCCAUGUUUUACUUAUCCAUGACAUGUGUGUUUAUUAAUUUUUCAUUUUAACAUGCCACCUUUAUCUUUCUUAUUUCUGGGAUUUUAUUCUACUAGAUAGAGCUGAAUGCAUUUUAAUAAUUAUUGUAAUAAUCACAUUUAUAUUUUGCAUUUUGAUUUUCAUAUACACUUUAUUAAUAUUUUAAUUUCAAUAUAAAAUAUUUUCCUACAAAUGUCAAUUUUUGAUUUUUAUGAGAUAAAAUUAAUCUAUACAAAAUACAUGUAUUUUCAAUGUACAGUUUGAGGGUUUCUGGCAAAUGUGCACACAUUUGUCUCCAGCAUCUAAGUUAUGAUGAGGAGCAGGUCCAUCUCCACAACAAGUGUCCUCUUCAGUGCUUCCAGUCAGCUCACACAUAAGGAAUUUUUUUUCAAAUUUAAUUUAGAUACAGAGGGUAAAUGUUUGGAUUUGUCACGGGGGAUUAUUGAGUGAUGCUGAGGUUUGGAAUACAGAUUCCACCAUCCUCUCCCUCCACUCUCCAGCAGUCCACAGUGUCUAUCAUUCUCAUAAUUAUGUCCAUGUGUGCUCAAUGCUGAGGUCUUAGGAGUAUAUGUGGUAUUCAGUUUUCUGCUCCUACAUUAAUUUGUUUAUGAUUAAGGGCCCCAGCUUCUUUCAUUUUACUGCAAAGGACAUGAUUUCACUCUUUUUUGUGGCUGUGUAGUAUUAUAUAUUGUAGAUGUACCGCAUUUUGUAUAUCCAGUCUACCAUUGAUGUGCAUCUGGGUUGAUCUAUGUCUUUGCCACUGUGAAUAGCACAGCAAUGAACAUAGAUGUGCAUGUGUCUUUUUGGUAUAAUUAUUUGCUUACUUUUCAGUGUAUACCCAGUGGUGGGAUUGCUGCAUAAAAUGAUAUCUCUGUUUUAAGUUCUUUGGGAAAUCUCCAGUCUGCUUUCCAAAGUGGAAACACCAAUUUAUAUUCCCCUCAUCAGUGUAUAAGUGUUCUCUUUUCUCCACAGUCCCACCAGCAUCCAUUGUUUUUUGACUUUUUAGUGAUAGCCAUUCUGAGUGGUGUGUGGCUACACACCUACAAUCACCUCAUCUUUGAUAAGGCUGAUGAAAACAAGCAAUGAGGAAAGGACUCUGUUCAAUAAAUGGUGCUGGGACAACUGACUAGGCAUAUGAUGAAGACUGAAGCUGGAUGUCUACUUUCAACACACAUAAAAUUAACUCAAAAUUCAUUAAAGUUUUAAAUGUAAGACCUCAAACCAUAAAAAUCCUUGAAGACAACCUAGGAAAUACUCUUCUUGACAUCAGGUUUGGCAAAAAAAUUUUGGCUGAGUAUCCAAAACCAAUUGCAACAAAAAGAAAAAUAGACAAGUGGGGUCUAAUUAACUGAGGAGUUCCUGCUCAGCAAAACAAACAAAGAAGCAAACAAAACUAUCAGCACAGUACUCAGACAACCUACAGAAUGUGGAAAGAUAUUCACAAACGUUCCAUCCAAGAAAGCCCUAAUAUCCAGAAUCUAUAGGGAAAUUAAACAAAUCAAGAAGCAGGGGCAGGAAGGGUGUUUCCUUUUGGAUCUUGCCACUAACCUGUUGGGAGUUUUUCUCCUUCCUUUGUGGUUUCAAGAAACAAUGGUAGAUUCUCCUCAGGUAUAAAGCUCUGCUUUCUUGUAUUAUGUAAUGUUUUUGGUUUCGGAUGUUACCAGAAUUACACUGCACUGUGAGAGGAUUCAUUCCUGGUGUGUGCAAUAGUGGAUGAAAGCUGCAAUGUUAGGGGUGGCUUUGAAAGCUACGUUAGGGGUGGCUGAGGGCAGUUAGCAGGAAAUGAUCAUCACUAUAGAAGGCUACUCAUUUCUUUGCACAUUUCCAUAAACAAUUGUAGUUUAUGCCCUAAAAACUGCAUGCUUUCUUGGCCCUUUUUCUUAAAUGCCUCCAAUCCAAGACCAGUCAUCUAAUUAAG
Non-coding RNA from Pan troglodytes (chimpanzee), 3039 nucleotides. The record is from the annotation of a RefSeq genome assembly. Lineage: Eukaryota; Metazoa; Chordata; Mammalia; Primates; Hominidae.